The sequence is a small nuclear RNA, 118 nucleotides long. It matches the Rfam family "U5 spliceosomal RNA". Rfam says of the family: U5 RNA is a component of both types of known spliceosome. The record is from Rfam.
UGUGCAGUGCGAGGAUUUGUACGAACUCAUUUCUUGCCUUUUACCAGAAGUGACCGCGAGUCCCGCACAACACUGCACUUACCUAAUCUUUGGAAAACACUUCACCCGUUGAGGGUUC